RNAcentral lists this ribosomal RNA (497 nucleotides) under uncultured bacterium. RNAcentral's name for it is "partial 16S ribosomal RNA". It matches the Rfam family "Bacterial small subunit ribosomal RNA", at positions 28 to 507 of the family's 1533-position model. The record is from RNAcentral.
GAUGAACGCUGGCGGCGUGCCUAAUACAUGCAAGUCGAGCGAACGGACGAGAAGCUUGCUUCUCUGAUGUUAGCGGCGGACGGGUGAGUAACACGUGGAUAACCUACCUAUAAGACUGGGAUAACUUCGGGAAACCGUAGCUAAUACCGGAUAAUAUUUUGAACCGCAUGGUUCAAAAGUGAAAGACGGUCUUGUUGUCACUUAUAGAUGGAUCCGCGCUGCAUUAGCUAGUUGGUAAGGUAACGGCUUACCAAGGCAACGAUGCAUAGCCGACCUGAGAGGGUGAUCGGCCACACUGGAACUGAGACACGGUCCAGACUCCUACGGGAGGCAGCAGUAGGGAAUCUUCCGCAAUGGGCGAAAGCCUGACGGAGCAACGCCGCGUGAGUGAUGAAGGUCUUCGGAUCGUAAAACUCUGUUAUUAGGGAAGAACAUAUGUGUAAGUAACUGUGCACAUCUUGACGGUACCUAAUCAGAAAGCCACGGCUAACUACGUG